This 484-nucleotide ribosomal RNA is filed under the name uncultured bacterium. RNAcentral's name for it is "partial 16S ribosomal RNA". It matches the Rfam family "Bacterial small subunit ribosomal RNA", at positions 29 to 523 of the family's 1533-position model. The record is from RNAcentral.
AGUGAACGCUGGCGGCGUGCUUAACACAUGCAAGUCGAACGAGAACGGGUUAUAGCUUGCUAUAAUUGUCAGCUAAGUGGCGCACGGGUGAGUAAUGUAUAGGUAAUAUGCCUCUUACUAAGGGAUAACAAAUGGAAACGUUUGCUAAUACCUUAUACUCCUUAUUAACAUAAGUUAAUAAGGGAAAGAUUUAUUGGUAAGAGAUUAGCCUGUAUUGUAUCAGUUAGUUGGUGGGGUAAUGGCUUACCAAGACUAUGACACAUAACUGGUUUGAGAGGAUGAUCAGUCACACUGGAACUGAGACACGGUCCAGACUCCUACGGGAGGCAGCAGUGGGGAAUAUCGCACAAUGGACGGAAGUCUGAUGCAGCAACGCCGCGUGGAGGAUGACACAUUUCGGUGCGUAAACUCCUUCUAUAUGAGAAGAUAAUGACGGUAUUAUAUGAAUAAGCACCGACUAACUCCGUGCCAGCAGCCGCGGUAC